CAACAGUUCUCUAUGUUCAGCAUUUGGUAAAGGUGAAGUCUCCUCUGGGUCAGCCUCAACAUUGAACAUUAGAGGAGGUUCACAAAACUAACAAGGUUAUUGACAGUGACCCUCACUGCUACAUGCCUAAGGUUAACAAAGCUAUCCACACAACACUUCAUCCACAAGAAGGACAACAUAAUAGAAAAGCUCCAGGGAGGUAAACCAAUUACAUGGAAUCAAAAAGCACAACAUGCAGACAACCAAAAUGCACACCCAUGAGGAAAGGGCAUACAAACGUACCUUUGGAAGUCAUUAAGAGGACAUGUAGAA
Molecule: long non-coding RNA, 312 nt
Organism: Stylophora pistillata
Lineage: Eukaryota; Metazoa; Cnidaria; Anthozoa; Scleractinia; Pocilloporidae
Source: RefSeq, a predicted model, not a curated record